This 754-nucleotide ribosomal RNA is filed under the name uncultured bacterium. RNAcentral describes it as "bacterial SSU rRNA". It matches the Rfam family "Bacterial small subunit ribosomal RNA", at positions 638 to 1392 of the family's 1533-position model. The record is from RNAcentral.
UGACUNGAGUGCAGAAGGGGAGAGUGGAAUUCCAUGUGUAGCGGUGAAAUGCGUAGAUAUAUGGAGGAACACCAGUGGCGAAAGCGGCUCUCUGGUCUGUCACUGACGCUGAGGCUCGAAAGCGUGGGUAGCGAACAGGAUUAGAUACCCUGGUAGUNCACGCCGUAAACGAUGAGUGCUAGGUGUUAGGCCCUUUCCGGGGCUUAGUGCCGGAGCUAACGCAAUAAGCACUCCGCCUGGGGAGUACGACCGCAAGGUUGAAACUCAAAGGAAUUGACGGGGGCCCGCACAAGCGGUGGAGCAUGUGGUUUAAUUCGAAGCAACGCGAAGAACCUUACCAGGUCUUGACAUCCCGAUGCUAUUCUUAGAGAUAGGAAGUUACUUCGGUACAUCGGAGACAGGUGGUGCAUGGUUGUCGUCAGCUCGUGUCGUGAGAUGUUGGGUUAAGUCCCGCAACGAGCGCAACCCUUAUUGUUAGUUGCCAUCAUUAAGUUGGGCACUCUAGCGAGACUGCCGGUAAUAAACCGGAGGAAGGUGGGGAUGACGUCAAAUCAUCAUGCCCCUUAUGACCUGGGCUACACACGUGCUACAAUGGUCGGUACAACGAGUUGCGAGCCGGUGACGGCAAGCUAAUCUCUGAAAGCCGAUCUCAGUUCGGAUUGGAGGCUGCAACUCGCCUCCAUGAAGUCGGAAUCGCUAGUAAUCGCGGAUCAGCACGCCGCGGUGAAUACGUUCCCGGGCCUUGUACACACCG